GGGAGGCAGCAGUGGGGAAUUUUGGACAAUGGGCGCAAGCCUGACUCCUAGCCAUGCCGCGUGAGUGAAGAAGGCCCUCGGGUUGUAAAGCUCUUUCAGCCGGAAAGAAAUCGUGCAACCUAAUACGUUGCAUGGAUGACGGUACCGGAAGAAGAAGCACCGGCUAACUACGUGCCAGCAGCCGCGGUAAUACGUAGGGUGCGAGCGUUAAUCGGAAUUACUGGGCGUAAAGCGUGCGCAGGCGGUUUUGUAAGACAGACGUGAAAUCCCCGGGCUUAACCUGGGAACUGCGUUUGUGACUGCAAGGCUAGAGUGUGGCAGAGGGGGGUAGAAUUCCACGUGUAGCAGUGAAAUGCGUAGAUAUGUGGAGGAAUACCGAUGGCGAAGGCAGCCCCCUGGGUCAACACUGACGCUCAUGCACGAAAGCGUGGGGAGCAAACAGCAUAUGGUAUGGGGAACUCAAGAUGACGGACCGCACAGCGUGAUAUGUGGAUAUCGAUGCACGCGAGAACCUUACAUACCCUGACAUGCCGAGAAUCCCGAAGAGAUUGUGAGUGCCCGAAAGAGAACUUGGACACAGGUGCUGCAUGGCUGUCGUCAGCUCGUGUCGUGAGAUGUUGGGUUAAGUCCCGCAACGAGCGCAACCCUUGUCAUUAAUUGCCAUCAUUCAGUUGGGCACUUUAAUGAGACUGCCGGUGAUAAACCGGAGGAAGGUGGGGAUGACGUCAAGUCCUCAUGGCCCUUAUGGGUAGGGCUUCACACGUAAUACAAUGGUCGGUACAGAGGGUCGCCAACCCGCGAGGGGGAGCCAAUCUCAGAAAGCCGAUCGUAGUCCGGAUUGUUCUCUGCAACUCGAGAGCAUGAAGUCGGAAUCGCUAGUAAUCGCGGAUCAGCGUGUCGCGGUGAAUACGUUCCCGGGCCUUGUACACACC
This 932-nucleotide ribosomal RNA is filed under the name uncultured bacterium. RNAcentral's name for it is "bacterial SSU rRNA". It matches the Rfam family "Bacterial small subunit ribosomal RNA", at positions 343 to 1391 of the family's 1533-position model. The record is from RNAcentral.